This 253-nucleotide ribosomal RNA is filed under the name uncultured bacterium. RNAcentral describes it as "partial 16S ribosomal RNA". It matches the Rfam family "Bacterial small subunit ribosomal RNA", at positions 524 to 776 of the family's 1533-position model. The record is from RNAcentral.
GACGUAGGAUGCAAGCGUUUUCCGGAUUCAUUGGGCGUAAAGAGUUCGUAGGUGGUCUGUUAAGUCUGGUGUUAAAGAACGGGGCCCAACCCCGGUAGUGCACUGGAUACUGGCAGACUUGAGUGCGGUAGAGGUAAGUGGAAUUCCCAGUGUAGCGGUGAAAUGCAUAGAUAUUGGGAAGAACACCGGUGGCGUAAGCGACUUACUGGGCCGUAACUGACACUGAGGAACGAAAGCCGGGGUAGCGAAUGGG